GAUGAAGAACGUAGCGAAAUGCGAUAAGUAGUGUGAAUUGCAGAAUUCAGUGAAUCAUCGAAUCUUUGAACGCACAUUGCGCCCCAUGGUAUUCCGUGGGGCAUGCCUGUUCGAGCGUCAUUUACCCCCUCAAGCUCCGCUUGGUGUUGGGCGUCUGUCCCGCUUCGCGCGCGGACUCGCCCCAAAGGUAUUGGCAGCGGUCGUGCCAGCUUCUCGCGCAGCACAUUGCGCUUCUCGAGGCACCGGUGGGCCCGCGUCCAUCAAGCUCACCCCCCCAGUUUGACCUCGGAUCAGGUAGGGAUACCUGCUGAACUUAAGCAUAUCAAUAAGCGGAGGA
RNAcentral lists this unclassified non-coding RNA (337 nucleotides) under soil metagenome. Its description in RNAcentral is "partial contains 5.8S ribosomal RNA, internal transcribed spacer 2, and large subunit ribosomal RNA". The stretch from base 1 to 120 matches the Rfam family "5.8S ribosomal RNA", at positions 35 to 154 of the family's 154-position model. The record is from RNAcentral.